RNAcentral lists this ribosomal RNA (469 nucleotides) under uncultured organism. Its description in RNAcentral is "partial 16S ribosomal RNA". It matches the Rfam family "Bacterial small subunit ribosomal RNA", at positions 335 to 797 of the family's 1533-position model. The record is from RNAcentral.
ACUCCUGCGGGAGGCAGCAGUAGGGAAUCUUCCACAAUGGGUGCAAACCUGAUGGAGCAAUGCCGCGUGAGUGAAGAAGGUCUUCGGAUCGUAAAGCUCUGUUGUUAGAGAAGAACACGUGCUAGGUAACUACUAGCGCCUUGACGGUAUCUAACCAGAAAGUCACGGCUAACUACGUGCCAGCAGCCGCGGUAAUACGUAGGUGACAAGCGUUGUCCGGAUUUAUUGGGCGUAAAGGGAGCGCAGGCGGUCUGUUUAGUCUAAUGUGAAAGCCCACGGCUUAACCGUGGAACGGCAUUGGAAACUGACAGACUUGAAUGUAGAAGAGGAAAAUGGAAUUCCAAGUGUAGCGGUGGAAUGCGUAGAUAUUUGGAGGAACACCAGUGGCGAAGGCGAUUUUCUGGUCUAACAUUGACGCUGAGGCUCGAAAGCGUGGGGAGCGAACAGGAUUAGAAACCCGAGUAGUCCC